GGGAAAUGGUAAGAGGGGCCAGCCCCAGGCCCCUCCAAACAAUGAGGCA
Molecule: regulatory RNA element, 49 nt
Organism: Gorilla gorilla gorilla (western lowland gorilla)
Lineage: Eukaryota; Metazoa; Chordata; Mammalia; Primates; Hominidae
Source: Rfam